CCAUUUUGAGAUUUAGUGAUAUUUUUAAACACGUUGUAGUGAAUCCCCCUAUGCGGUGGGGCAAAUCAACUAUUUUCAUGUGACACUCCAAUAUGCGAACCACGGUUGGUUGUCCAAAGGUUCACCGGGAGGCACCCGGCACUACAACAGGCCCUUGCAGAAAUGCAGGGGCUUUUCCAUUUUAGGGGAUUAUGCUAUUUUGC
This is a non-coding RNA of Dendroctonus ponderosae (mountain pine beetle), 203 nucleotides long. The record is from Rfam. NCBI's taxonomy places the organism in Eukaryota, Metazoa, Arthropoda, Insecta, Coleoptera, Curculionidae.